UCCGGCUUGCCGCCGGCAGUCCCUCCAGAGUGCCCAACUGAAUGAUGGCAACUGAAGGCAGGGGUUGCGCUCGUUAGAGGACUUAACCCAACAUCUCACGACACGAGCUGACGACAGCCAUGCAGCACCUGUGUUCCGAUUCCCUUUCGGGCACACCCACCUCUCAGCGGGCUUCCGGACAUGUCAAGGGUAGGUAAGGUUGUUCGCGUUGCAUCGAAUUAAUCCACAUCAUCCACCGCUUGUGCGGGUCCCCGUCAAUUCCUUUGAGUUUUAACCUUGCGGCCGUACUCCCCAGGCGGGGUACUUACUCCGUUAGGUGCGGCACCGGCGGUAACCCGCCGACACUUAGUACCCAUCGUUUAGGGCGUGGACUAC
This 375-nucleotide unclassified non-coding RNA is filed under the name uncultured Gammaproteobacteria bacterium. Its description in RNAcentral is "contains 16S-23S intergenic spacer region". Lineage: Bacteria; Pseudomonadati; Pseudomonadota; Gammaproteobacteria. The record is from RNAcentral.